This 279-nucleotide ribosomal RNA is filed under the name uncultured bacterium. RNAcentral describes it as "partial 16S ribosomal RNA". It matches the Rfam family "Bacterial small subunit ribosomal RNA", at positions 506 to 784 of the family's 1533-position model. The record is from RNAcentral.
UGCCAGCCGCCGCGGUAAUACAGAGGGUGCAAGCGUUAAUCGGAAUUACUGGGCGUAAAGCGUGCGUAGGUGGUUUGAUAAGUCAGGUGUGAAAUCCCAGAGCUCAACUUUGGAAUUGCGCUUGAAACUGUCAGGCUAGAGUACUGUAGAGGGUAGUGGAAUUUCCGGUGUAGCGGUGAAAUGCGUAGAUAUCGGAAGGAACACCAGUGGCGAAGGCGACUACCUGGACAGACACUGACACUGAGGCACGAAAGCGUGGGUAGCAAACCGGAUUAGAUA